ACACCUACGGGUGGCAGCAGUAAGGAAUAUUGGUCAAUGGGGGCAACCCUGAACCAGCCAUGCCGCGUGCAGGAAGACGGCCCUCUGGGUUGUAAACUGCUUUUAUCCGGGAAUAAACCCCCUUACGUGUAAGGGGCUGAAUGUACCGGAAGAAUAAGGAUCGGCUAACUCCGUGCCAGCAGCCGCGGUAAUACGGAGGAUCCAAGCGUUAUCCGGAUUUAUUGGGUUUAAAGGGUGCGUAGGCGGCCUGUUAAGUCAGGGGUGAAAGACGGUGGCUCAACCAUCGCAGUGCCUUUGAUACUGACGGGCUUGAAUACACUUGAAGUAGGCGGAAUGUGACAAGUAGCGGUGAAAUGCAUAGAUAUGUCACAGAACACCGAUUGCGAAGGCAGCUUACUAAGGUGCAAUUGACGCUGAGGCACGAAAGCGUGGGGAUCAAACAGGAUUAGAUACCCUGGUAGUCCACGCCCUAAACGAUGAAUACUCGAUGUUAGCGAUAUACAGUUAGCGUCUAAGCGAAAGCGUUAAGUAUUUCACCUGGGGAGUACGCCCGCAAGGGUGAAACUC
Molecule: ribosomal RNA, 567 nt
Filed under: uncultured bacterium
Lineage: Bacteria
Description: bacterial SSU rRNA
Rfam family: Bacterial small subunit ribosomal RNA
Source: RNAcentral